GAUGAACGCUGGCGGCGUGCCUAAUACAUGCAAGUCGAGCGAACGGACGAGAAGCUUGCUUCUCUGAUGUUAGCGGCGGACGGGUGAGUAACACGUGGAUAACCUACCUAUAAGACUGGGAUAACUUCGGGAAACCGUAGCUAAUGCCGGAUAAUAUUUUGAACCGCAUGGUUCAAAAGUUAAAGACGGUCUUGCUGUCACUUAUAGAUGGAUCCGCGCUGCAUUAGCUAGUUGGUAAGGUAAAGGCUUACCAAGGCAACGAUGCAUAGCCGACCUGAGAGGGUGAUCGGCCACACUGGAACUGAGACACGGUCCAGACUCCUACGGGAGGCAGCAGUAGGGAAUCUUCCGCAAUGGGCGAAAGCCUGACGGAGCAACGCCGCGUGAGUGAUGAAGGUCUUCGGAUCGUAAAACUCUGUUAUUAGGGAAGAACAUAUGUGUAAGUAACUGUGCACAUCUUGACGGUACCUAAUCAGAAAGCCACGGCUAACUACGUG
This 497-nucleotide ribosomal RNA is filed under the name uncultured bacterium. RNAcentral describes it as "partial 16S ribosomal RNA". It matches the Rfam family "Bacterial small subunit ribosomal RNA", at positions 28 to 507 of the family's 1533-position model. The record is from RNAcentral.